RNAcentral lists this ribosomal RNA (468 nucleotides) under uncultured bacterium. Its description in RNAcentral is "bacterial SSU rRNA". It matches the Rfam family "Bacterial small subunit ribosomal RNA", at positions 329 to 794 of the family's 1533-position model. The record is from RNAcentral.
AACCAGACUCCUACGGGAGGCAGCAGUGAGGAAUAUUGGUCAAUGGUCGGGAGACUGAACCAGCCAAGCCGCGUGAGGGAUGAAGGUACAGAGUAUCGUAAACCUCUUUUGUCAGGGAACAAAGGCGGGGACGCGUCCCCGGAUGAGUGUACCUGAAGAAAAAGCAUCGGCUAACUCCGUGCCAGCAGCCGCGGUAAUACGGAGGAUGCGAGCGUUAUCCGGAUUUAUUGGGCGUAAAGGGUGCGUAGAUGGUUGAUAUAAGUCUUUUGUAAAAAUGCUAGGCUCAACCUAGUAGGGCAAAAGAUACUGAUGAACUAGAGUACGGCAGAGGCAAGUGGAACUACAUGUGUAGCGGUAAAAUGCGUAAAUAUAUGUAAGAACACCGGUGGCGAAGGCGGCUUGCUGGGCCUGUACUGACAUUGAGGCACGAAAGCGUGGGGAGCAAACAGGAUUAGAUACCCUCGUAGC